Molecule: ribosomal RNA, 479 nt
Filed under: Blastocystis sp. 356C.1
Lineage: Eukaryota; Bigyra; Opalinata; Blastocystidae
Description: SSU rRNA
Rfam family: Eukaryotic small subunit ribosomal RNA
Source: RNAcentral
GAGGUAGUGACAAUAAAUCACAAUGCGGAACUUUUAGUUUUGCAAUUGGGUUGAGAACAAUGUACAAAUGUUAUCGAUAAACAAUUGGAGGGCAAGUCUGGUGCCAGCAGCCGCGGUAAUUCCAGCUCCAAUAGCGUAUAUUAACGUUGUUGCAGUUAAAAAGCUCGUAGUUGAAAAGUGGGAUGAAGUAUAUAAUGAAUUUCUAAUUCAAUUCUAUAUUGAUUCCCCUCUCCAAUUUAUUAUUAUGGGUAUUAAUUUAUUUGUAAUAAGAAUUGGUCAUUUACUGUGAGAAAAUUAGAGUGUUCAAAGCAGGCAUUUGCUUGAAUAGAUUAGCAUGGAAUAAUACUAAAAGGCUUUUAUGGUCGAUUUAAUUGGUUUGUUCAUAAAAGCAAGAUUAAAAGGAACAGUUGGGGGUAUUCAUAUUCAAUAGUUAGAGGUGAAAUUCUCGGAUUUAUGGAAGAUGAACAAGUGCGAAAGCA